This 563-nucleotide long non-coding RNA is filed under the name Ananas comosus (pineapple). Its description in RNAcentral is "long non-coding RNA (ACOM_LNC007535)". The record is from RNAcentral. Lineage: Eukaryota; Viridiplantae; Streptophyta; Magnoliopsida; Poales; Bromeliaceae.
UAUACAUGUAUUAAUUAAUCUAAAACACAAACAAUCACUAUCCUAAACACAUAAUUGUAUAAUAUCCAAAUACAUGUAUUAACCUAUAUGAAUCCUCAAUAUUAGUUGCCACGUGGUAAGUUUUUCUUCACAUUUACCAGCACGUGAUCCUUACCUUUCUCUCCAUCAAAUUUUUAAUUAACGUAUUUAAUUAAUACAUCUAAAUGGCCUACUGCUAAACUUUCAAUUAAUGUAUUUAAAUAGUACCACAGUCAUUCAUAAUCCUCACUUUUUAAUUUCUAAUUAGUUUAUCACGAUUCUUCCUCUUUUCUCCACUAGACUUUCAAUUUAUCCAUCUAAACGCCCCGUUGCCAUCUACAAUUUUCACCUCUCCAUCUCUGAUCUUUUCUUCUAAACCAUCGCUUCCCUCCCUCUCUCUCACUAAUGCGCGCCUACCUCCUCUCUCCGAACACACAAGAAAAUAUUUGAUAUUAUCUUAUUAUUAAUUAUUUCUACAGCAUCUAUCCACUGCGAAGCGCAAGUUCUUUACUAGUAAACAUAAUUGUAUAUUACACAGACAACUA